GAUGAACGCUGGCGGCGUGCUUAACACAUGCAAGUCGAGCGAAGCGCUUAAGUUUGAUUCUUCGGAUGAAGACUUUUGUGACUGAGCGGCGGACGGGUGAGUAACGCGUGGGUAACCUGCCUCAUACAGGGGGAUAACAGUUAGAAAUGACUGCUAAUACCGCAUAAGACCACAGGGUCGCAUGACCCGGUGGUAAAAACUCCGGUGGUAUGAGAUGGACCCGCGUCUGAUUAGCUAGUUGGUGGGGUAAAUGCCCACCAAGGCUAUGAUCAGUAGCUGGUUUGAGAGGAUGAUCAGCCACAAUGGGACUGAGACACGGCCCAU
Molecule: ribosomal RNA, 324 nt
Filed under: uncultured bacterium
Lineage: Bacteria
Description: bacterial SSU rRNA
Rfam family: Bacterial small subunit ribosomal RNA
Source: RNAcentral